CCAUGGCUUGGUUGUUUCCUGUUCUACGGUAUCUCCGAUGGAAUGAUUUACUCUGUUUCCCUGAUCUAAGCUCCUCUAGAUCAAAUACAGUUCUUGUACCCGAGACUGUGGUGCAUUCUAAACACUAUAGGCUACAAACCUCCGGACAAAUCAACAUUGUAAGUGAAUUUUUCUAUUUAUUUAAAAUUAAACAUUUGUUAUAUAAAAUUGAAUGUUUUACCUGGAGAAAGUUUUAUUUUUAAAGGCUAGAAUUCUAUUUUAUCGUAAAAUUAAUUAACCCUGGACUGAUUUAUUGUGUUUUCAGUUCACGGUUGAGUCCUGUAUAAACUGCCUACCUGAAAUAUAUACAUAAGAUUUAA
Molecule: long non-coding RNA, 359 nt
Organism: Eurytemora carolleeae
Lineage: Eukaryota; Metazoa; Arthropoda; Copepoda; Calanoida; Temoridae
Exons: 2
Source: RefSeq, a predicted model, not a curated record